AUGGCGUCUUCUGCUUCUUCAAUCCCUGCCGUCUCUCUCGCCGGAACAGAGGACAUCGCUCCUCUCCCCCUCAUCCGGUGCCCUAGAUGCAACACUGGUGUGAUCCAGUGGUUCAUCUCCGAGACUCCCCUCAACCCCGGUCGGCAUUUCUACAAAUGCCAGUUCCGCGAUUCUGGGCGUUGCACUUUUUGGAAAUGGGAGAACAAGUACAUCGACUAUCUUCGCGCUAGAUGGGCGCACGUUUUCCUUCCAGUACCUACUUCUUCCCAGGAAACCCCCACCGUUAUCCUGCGUGACAUUCAGUCAGACAUGAAGAUUGUUCUUGCCGUUGCACUUGGUACCCUUGCUGCUGUGAUGAUGCUUCUAGUCUCCAAGAUGUAG
RNAcentral lists this ribosomal RNA (381 nucleotides) under Triticum aestivum (bread wheat). RNAcentral's name for it is "partial small subunit ribosomal RNA". The record is from RNAcentral. Lineage: Eukaryota; Viridiplantae; Streptophyta; Magnoliopsida; Poales; Poaceae.